AUGUUCUGGCCAAUAAGAGGGCAUUCUACUUGGGCAGGCAAAAAGAGAAAAGGAAGCAGAAUAAGAAGCAUUCAGCUUUGUGUCCUUUGCUCUUGACCCUCUUUUCUGUCUGUAAAUAACACAGGCUGCCCGGAGGUGGAGCAGCUGCCUUACAACCAUGGAAAUGGAGGAGGAGGAAAGAAAAAAAGGGAAACUAAGUCCUUGGUGACUUCAUGGAGCUGCCUCUCGCUAACCUUCUCUUUCUCCUUCCAGGACUGCUGAUACGUGACAAAAAUCAACCUGUGUGUGAUUAAAGCCCUGUGGUGGGUUUCUUCUGCAUUCACCUGAAAACAGUCAUGACUAAACCAGCCGUUUUCUUUGUCAUUGGACAGAGCCUUCUGGCGCUGUUUUGUGAUGGAAACAUUCAGGAACAUCUUCAAGGUCUCCGAUGAAGCUGUGAUAAUCUUUCACCAAAAGAGACUGUGGAAAUAUUGCUUCCUUUCAGAGCUGUGGCCAUUUACAAUUUUCCCAGUCACAAAGGGAGAAUCAAAGCAAAUUUGAUUUAUUCAGCUGUUCACACUGAGCUCAUGCACUUCCAGUUGGGACGAGAUGUCAUGGCCUGUUCAUCUUUAAGUGGAAUAAACUUUCCUCAUGAAAAAAGAAAUCGCCAUACAAAGUGACCGACCAUUCAACAAAGAAUUUGGCAAAGUGAGUACCUGCAGAUAAGGUCAAUAUUUCCCUCAGAAAACAGUUUGAGAUUAUUCAGCAUCC
Molecule: long non-coding RNA, 750 nt
Organism: Phacochoerus africanus (Common warthog)
Lineage: Eukaryota; Metazoa; Chordata; Mammalia; Artiodactyla; Suidae
Exons: 4
Source: RefSeq, a predicted model, not a curated record